This 761-nucleotide ribosomal RNA is filed under the name uncultured Bacilli bacterium. Its description in RNAcentral is "bacterial SSU rRNA". It matches the Rfam family "Bacterial small subunit ribosomal RNA", at positions 28 to 772 of the family's 1533-position model. The record is from RNAcentral. Lineage: Bacteria; Bacillati; Bacillota; Bacilli.
GACGAACGCUGGCGGCGUGCCUAAUACAUGCAAGUAGAACGCUGAAGAGAGGAGCUUGCUCUUCUUGGAUGAGUUGCGAACGGGUGAGUAACGCGUAGGUAACCUGCCUUGUAGCGGGGGAUAACUAUUGGAAACGAUAGCUAAUACCGCAUAACAAUGGAUGACACAUGUCAUUUAUUUGAAAGGGGCAAAUGCUCCACUACAAGAUGGACCUGCGUUGUAUUAGCUAGUAGGUGAGGUAACGGCUCACCUAGGCGACGAUACAUAGCCGACCUGAGAGGGUGAUCGGCCACACUGGGACUGAGACACGGCCCAGACUCCUACGGGAGGCAGCAGUAGGGAAUCUUCGGCAAUGGGGGCAACCCUGACCGAGCAACGCCGCGUGAGUGAAGAAGGUUUUCGGAUCGUAAAGCUCUGUUGUAAGUCAAGAACGAGUGUGAGAGUGGAAAGUUCACACUGUGACGGUAGCUUACCAGAAAGGGACGGCUAACUACGUGCCAGCAGCCGCGGUAAUACGUAGGUCCCGAGCGUUGUCCGGAUUUAUUGGGCGUAAAGCGAGCGCAGGCGGUUUGAUAAGUCUGAAGUUAAAGGCUGUGGCUCAACCAUAGUUCGCUUUGGAAACUGUCAAACUUGAGUGCAGAAGGGGAGAGUGGAAUUCCAUGUGUAGCGGUGAAAUGCGUAGAUAUAUGGAGGAACACCGGUGGCGAAAGCGGCUCUCUGGUCUGUAACUGACGCUGAGGCUCGAAAGCGUGGGGAGCGAA